UACGACGGGUGCAAACGUUGCUCGGAAUUAUUGGGCGUAAAGCGCACGUAGGCGGCAUUGCAAGUCGGAUGUGAAAUCUUAUGGCUUAACCAUAAAAGUGCAUCCGAAACUGCAGUGCUUGAGUACUUAAGAGGAUCGCGGAAUUCCUGGUGUAGCGGUGAAAUGCGUAGAUAUCUGGAGGAACACCGGUGGCGAAGGCGGCAUCCUGGACCGGUAUUGACGCUGAGGCGCGAAAGCUAGGGGAGCAAACGGG
RNAcentral lists this ribosomal RNA (253 nucleotides) under uncultured bacterium. Its description in RNAcentral is "partial 16S ribosomal RNA". It matches the Rfam family "Bacterial small subunit ribosomal RNA", at positions 524 to 776 of the family's 1533-position model. The record is from RNAcentral.